This 595-nucleotide ribosomal RNA is filed under the name uncultured Solirubrobacteraceae bacterium. RNAcentral's name for it is "bacterial SSU rRNA". It matches the Rfam family "Bacterial small subunit ribosomal RNA", at positions 329 to 916 of the family's 1533-position model. Lineage: Bacteria; Bacillati; Actinomycetota; Thermoleophilia; Solirubrobacterales; Solirubrobacteraceae. The record is from RNAcentral.
GCCCUUACUCCUACGGGAGGCAGCAGUGGGGAAUCUUGCGCAAUGGGCGAAAGCCUGACGCAGCAACGCCGCGUGCGGGAGGAAGGCCUUCGGGUUGUAAACCGCUUUCAGGGGAGACGAAGCUUCCAGGGUGAAUAGCUCUGUGGAGUGACGGUAUCUUCAGAAGAAGUCCCGGCUAACUACGUGCCAGCAGCCGCGGUGAUACGUAGGGGACAAGCGUUGUCCGGAAUUAUUGGGCGUAAAGCGCGUGUAGGCGGCCAAGUAAGUCUUACGUGAAAUCCUGAGGCUCAACCUCAGGCCUGCGCGGGAUACUGCUUGGCUAGAGUCCGGAAGAGGAGAGUGGAAUUCCUGGUGUAGCGGUGGAAUGCGCAGAUAUCAGGAGGAACAUCCGUGGCGAAGGCGGCUCUCUGGGACGGUACUGACGCUGAGACGCGAAAGCGUGGGGAGCGAACAGGAUUAGAUACCCUGGUAGUCCACGCCCUAAACGAUGUCGACUGGUUGUUGGGGGUUUGACACUCUCAGUAACGAAGCUAACGCGUGAAGUCGACCGCCUGGGGAGUACGGCCGCAAGGUUAAAACUCAAAGGAAUUGACGG